UACGUAGGGACCAAGCGUUGUCCGGAAUCAUUGGGCGUAAAGCGCGCGUAGGUGGCCAUUUAAGUCCGCUGUGAAAGUCAGAGGCUCAACCUUUGAAAGCCGGUGGAUACUGGAUGGCUAGAGUACGGAAGAGGCGAGUGGAAUUCCUGGUGUAGCGGUGAAAUGCGCAGAUAUCAGGAGGAACACCGAUGGCGAAGGCGGGUCUCUGGGCCGUAACUGACGCUGAGGAGCGAAAGCGUGGGGAGCGAACAGG
Molecule: ribosomal RNA, 253 nt
Filed under: uncultured bacterium
Lineage: Bacteria
Description: partial 16S ribosomal RNA
Rfam family: Bacterial small subunit ribosomal RNA
Source: RNAcentral